Long non-coding RNA from Cygnus olor (mute swan), 496 nucleotides. RefSeq lists it as uncharacterized. Lineage: Eukaryota; Metazoa; Chordata; Aves; Anseriformes; Anatidae. The record is from RefSeq and is a predicted model, not a curated record. The transcript is spliced from 2 exons.
CUGACGGCGCGAGGCACGGCUGGCUCGGUCCCCCCGCGAAGCAGCGCGGCCCCAAAUCACGCUCGCAGGGUCACGGUGUGAAGAGGUAAGAAAACUAGUAGCAAGGCUGCUGCAGCUGUUUGGUGAGAACAAUCCGAUCUGAAUCCGCUUGGAGCGCGCACGCGGCGGCCAGAAGGACGCGGUGUAAACGCCCUCACGUGCGCCGGGGGGGACGAGCGGCAGCGCAGCCUCCCCCGGCCUCUUCCCCCGUCCCCGAGCCUCUGCCCUCGCCUCCCCACAGCAAGCUGGGGGAGGCCGAGCAGGUUGGUUUUAAUCCCCACCCGCUCCGAAACAGGAGCGUCUUAGCAGCUGGGGGCUUUUUCUUUUACUCUUUUCUUCUUUUUUCUUUUUUUUUUGGCUGCUCGCUGUGAAACCUUCGCUGGUCUGGAGCUCGAAGAGAAGCAGACGCACUGCCGAGCAGAACGCUCCCCGCGAGGAACGGUCCUGCCCGCAGUGU